RNAcentral lists this ribosomal RNA (274 nucleotides) under uncultured bacterium. Its description in RNAcentral is "partial 16S ribosomal RNA". It matches the Rfam family "Bacterial small subunit ribosomal RNA", at positions 523 to 796 of the family's 1533-position model. The record is from RNAcentral.
AUACGGAGGUUGCAAGCGUUACUCGGAAUCACUGGGCGUAAAGCGCGCGCAGGCGGUCUUUUAAGUUGGAUGUGAAAGCCUACAGCUCAACUGUAGAACUGCAUCCAAAACUAUUAGACUAGAGUCUGGGAGGGGAAGAUGGAAUUAGUUGUGUAGGGGUAAAAUCCGUAGAGAUAACUAGGAAUACCAAAAGCGAAGGCGAUCUUCUGGAACAGUACUGACGCUGAGGCGCGAAAGCGUGGGGAGCAAACAGGAUUAGAUACCCUAGUAGUCC